AGCGAACGCUGGCGGCAGGCCUAACACAUGCAAGUCGAGCGGACGUAGCAAUACGUCAGCGGCAGACGGGAGAGUAACACGUGGGAACGUACCCUUUGGUUCGGAACAACCCAGGGAAACUUGGGCUAAUACCGGAUAAGCCCUCACGGGGAAAGAUUUAUCGCCGAAGGAUCGGCCCGCGUCUGAUUAGCUAGUUGGUGGGGUAAUGGCCCACCAAGGCGACGAUCAGUAGCUGGUCUGAGAGGAUGAUCAGCCUCACUGGGACUGAGACACGGCCCAGAAUCCUACGGGAGGCGGCAGUGGGGAAUAUUGGACAAUGGGCGCAAGCCUGAUCCAGCCAUGCCGCGUGGGUGAUGAAGGCCCUAGGGUUGUAAAGCCCUUUCGGCGGGGAAGAUAAUGACGGUACCCGCAGAAGAAGCCCCGGCUAACUUCGUGCCAGCCGCCGCCGUAA
This 451-nucleotide ribosomal RNA is filed under the name uncultured bacterium. RNAcentral's name for it is "partial 16S ribosomal RNA". It matches the Rfam family "Bacterial small subunit ribosomal RNA", at positions 29 to 523 of the family's 1533-position model. The record is from RNAcentral.